This 201-nucleotide unclassified non-coding RNA is filed under the name Hevea brasiliensis (rubber tree). The record is from RNAcentral. Lineage: Eukaryota; Viridiplantae; Streptophyta; Magnoliopsida; Malpighiales; Euphorbiaceae.
AUUCCACAGCUGCCAAAGCUAUCAAUUGGAAGCAUAUUUCAAGUUGCAAUAGCUAAUUGUUCCAAGGAUGAUGAGAAAUUGCUUGACUAUAAUGGUUUAGCAGGAAAGCUUCAUGAGUCAAUAGGGAAGAUGAAUAAUGACUAUGUGAGGAAGAUCCAUGCUGGUGGUGCGUACUUCCAGUUUCUAAGGAAAAAGGGCGAG